UAACACUAACUGGAGGACCGAACCGACUAAUGUUGAAAAAUUAGCGGAUGACCUGUGGCUGGGGGUGAAAGGCCAAUCAAACCGGGAGAUAGCUGGUUCUCCCCGAAAGCUAUUUAGGUAGCGCCUCGUGAAUUCAUCUCCGGGGGUAGAGCACUGUUUCGGCUAGGGGGCCAUCCCGGCUUACCAACCCGAUGCAAACUGCGAAUACCGGAGAAUGUUAUCACGGGAGACACACGGCGGGUGCUAACGUCCGUCGUGAAGAGGGAAACAACCCAGACCGCCAGCUAAGGUCCCAAAGUCAUGGUUAAGUGGGAAACGAUGUGGGAAGGCCCAGACAGCCAGGAUGUUGGCUUAGAAGCAGCCAUCAUUUAAAGAAAGCGUAAUAGCUCACUGGUCGAGUCGGCCUGCGCGGAAGAUGUAACGGGGCUAAACCAUGCACCGAAGCUGCGGCAGCGACACUGUGUGUUGUUGGGUAGGGGAGCGUUCUGUAAGCCUGUGAAGGUGUGUCGUGAGGCAUGCUGGAGGUAUCAGAAGUGCGAAUGCUGACAUAAGUAACGAUAAAGCGGGUGAAAAGCCCGCUCGCCGGAAGACCAAGGGUUCCUGUCCAACGUUAAUCGGGGCAGGGUGAGUCGACCCCUAAGGCGAGGCCGAAAGGCGUAGUCGAUGGGAAACGGGUUAAUAUUCCCGUACUUGGUGUUACUGCGAAGGGGGGACGGAGAAGGCUAUGUUGGCCGGGCGACGGUUGUCCCGGUUUAAGCGUGUAGGUGUGUGUUCCAGGUAAAUCCGGUUCACUUUAACACUGAGGCGUGACGACGAGGCACUACGGUGCUGAAGCAACAAAUGCCCUGCUUCCAGGAAAA
Molecule: ribosomal RNA, 860 nt
Filed under: Salmonella enterica subsp. enterica serovar Enteritidis
Lineage: Bacteria; Pseudomonadati; Pseudomonadota; Gammaproteobacteria; Enterobacterales; Enterobacteriaceae
Description: partial 23S ribosomal RNA
Rfam family: Bacterial large subunit ribosomal RNA
Source: RNAcentral